RNAcentral lists this long non-coding RNA (1154 nucleotides) under Anser brachyrhynchus (Pink-footed goose). Its description in RNAcentral is "lncRNA (ENSABRG00000018753.1)". Lineage: Eukaryota; Metazoa; Chordata; Aves; Anseriformes; Anatidae. The record is from RNAcentral.
CUACGCCCCGGAAAUGCAAAAUUUGGCUGUUUAUAUUGCUGUUUCAAUGAGCAAAUUCUUCACUUUGCAGGAAAGUCAGCAGACAGGCGUGUUCCUUACAACACUCGGAGACUAAGGCACAUCCAUGAAGAGACAUCUUCUGUAUCAGGAACCAGUCUGUACCCACUGAAACUCUCUCCUCCACAGGGAACUGCUGUGCUUACAAGGCUGGUUCUAACAACAAAAAAAAAAAGAGUAACCACUGGAAGAAAAGGAGAAAGAAGUCAGAUCAUCAGGCACGCAGUGUUGCUGGUGCAAUAGACCUGGAAGAUGUGACUGUGUUGCAGUACCAUGAGGAGAGAUCCUUUCCUGCGGUCUCGUGUAAAACCAACUUUCCACAGCCUCUGUACAGUUUAAAACAGCACAGCCUCUCCUGGACAGACAAUACCAAUCUGAUAAGGGUUUUGUGAGAGUUAGUGAGUCAAUACACAUGACAUACUGUUUCAGUGGAGUGUGCUGCUCACAUACGAGUGAACUGCGGAGACCCACAAUAGUUCUGCUUUUCUCUGCAAGAACUGCCUGUAAUUUCAGGUCAUCCACACAGAGAAAGGAUCUAGCCUGAACUGCUGUUAGAGGAGUCUUGGCCGUUGCUUCCCCUUGCAUGGAAGCCUCCAGUGCCAAGUUCCCCAGUCUGCCCCUCUAUAUGUGAGAGCAGAGCUGAAGGGAAGGACCCACACCUGGGAUGAGUCACUGAGGUAAAUGGUGGUGGUUUUUAAUGGCAAAGUCUUUCUCCAGCAUUGCCUCAGAUAUAACAUGGUUUAUUCAUAACCAGUGUCCCAGGCAGCAACUGCACUUCUGUCUUUGCUGUCUGGGAGAGAAGCAGCAGAUCAGAUGUGAAUAGCUUAGACUAACAAUAAUUUGGGGGGAUCGGGGGGGACUCUUUCACUUCUCCAUUCUGCUUCAUCUGUUUAGCCUUUCAGAGCAGGUGCUGCCUCCUCUUCCUGCAGAAUCACCUUCAGCUGCCUGUGCUUCUCUGAGGUUUACUGGUGCUGGUGAAAGGACACAUGACAGAGAACUGAGUCAGAUAUCAGGUUCAGCACUGACAUUGUUUGACCUUGGCUUGUGUGAGGUCCCUUAGCCUUUUGGAGGAAAAUCUCCAUGAUGCAGUGAGAGGA